Molecule: ribosomal RNA, 440 nt
Filed under: uncultured bacterium
Lineage: Bacteria
Description: partial 16S ribosomal RNA
Rfam family: Bacterial small subunit ribosomal RNA
Source: RNAcentral
CCUACGGGAGGCAGCAGUGGGGGAUAUUGCACAAUGGGGGGAACCCUGAUGCAGCGACGCCGCGUGGGUGAAGAAGCGCCUCGGCGCGUAAAGCCCUGUCAGCAGGGAAGAAAAUGACGGUACCUGAAGAAGAAGCCCCGGCUAACUACGUGCCAGCAGCCGCGGUAAUACGUAGGGGGCAAGCGUUAUCCGGAUUUACUGGGGGUAAAGGGGGCGCAGACGGCGAUGCAAGCCAGGAGGGAAAGCCCGGGGGCCAACCCCGGGACUGCUCUUGGAGCUGCGUGGCUGGAGUGCAGGAGGGGCAGGCGGAAUUCCUGGUGUAGCGGUGAAAUGCGUAGAUAUAAGGAGGAACACCGGUGGCGAAGGCGGCCUGCUGGACUGCAACUGACGUUGAGGCCCGAAAGCGUGGGGAGCAAACAGGAUUAGAUACCCUAGUAGUC